UGAAAACAUACAUGGCAUAAACCGAGAGAGCAAGUGCAAUGGAUUUCAAUAGGAUUUCUUUUCCUCCUUGCGAGAGAGCUUUUGCAUACCACCCAUUCAAUCUCCCAUGAAGCUUUUCUCGUAUAAAGUUCAGCAGCUCAAUCUUUGACCCUUGAAAACAUUCAGGUAGUCCUAGAUAGGUUCCAUCUCCUCCCUCUUUGUCUAUCUCCAAGGUUCGUUUGAUCUCAGCCCGGUCUUGUUCUGGUAUCUUUGCAUCAAAGAUGAUAGAUGAUUUCAGCUUAUUUAUCACCUGUC
This 294-nucleotide long non-coding RNA is filed under the name Brassica napus (rape). Its description in RNAcentral is "long non-coding RNA (BNAP_LNC021678)". The record is from RNAcentral. Lineage: Eukaryota; Viridiplantae; Streptophyta; Magnoliopsida; Brassicales; Brassicaceae.